GUGGAUGUAGCUCAAUAGGUUAGAGCACUGGGUUGUGGCCCCAGAGGCUGGCGGUUCAAGUCCGCUCAUCCACCCCA
This 77-nucleotide transfer RNA is filed under the name Syntrophobacteraceae bacterium CG2_30_61_12. Its description in RNAcentral is "tRNA-His". It matches the Rfam family "tRNA". From Rfam's summary of the family: Transfer RNA (tRNA) molecules are approximately 80 nucleotides in length. RNAcentral also lists the same sequence under 1 other name. The record is from RNAcentral. Lineage: Bacteria; Pseudomonadati; Thermodesulfobacteriota; Syntrophobacteria; Syntrophobacterales; Syntrophobacteraceae.